Molecule: small RNA, 29 nt
Filed under: Bombyx mori (domestic silkworm)
Lineage: Eukaryota; Metazoa; Arthropoda; Insecta; Lepidoptera; Bombycidae
Description: ovarian small RNA-20328
Source: RNAcentral
UACAGUCCUUUAAAGGUUGAGGCCAGUAU